AAUCACGAGAUCGUGGGAGGAAUGGCUUUGGGCCGUUGCGGAUUGAGCCAUUGUGACGGUCUUGCUCCUCGUGUGUUUGCCUCUGGCCAUGGUUGUUCAAAAGGCUUUGAUUGAAUGAAAAGAUGGAGGAAAUAAAUUCCUUUGAUUUAAGGGCACCCAUUGAGUAUAACUCCGGCCAUGGUUACACCAAAUGUUUGUGCAAAAAUCCUCUCAGGAGAAUAUUCGCUUUGUGAUUCUUCAACCUUUGAUCUUUCUUCUCU
Molecule: long non-coding RNA, 260 nt
Filed under: Prunus persica (peach)
Lineage: Eukaryota; Viridiplantae; Streptophyta; Magnoliopsida; Rosales; Rosaceae
Description: long non-coding RNA (PPER_LNC003602)
Source: RNAcentral